CAGCAGCCACGGUAAUACGGAGGAUCCAAGCGUUAUCCGGAAUCAUUGGGUUUAAAGGGUCCGUAGGCGGUCUUGUAAGUCAGUGGUGAAAGCCCAUCGCUCAACGGUGGAACGGCCAUUGAUACUGCAGGACUUGAAUUAUUGGGAAGUAACUAGAAUAUGUAGUGUAGCGGUGAAAUGCUUAGAGAUUACAUGGAAUACCAAUUGCGAAGGCAGGUUACUACCAAUUGAUUGACGCUGAUGGACGAAAGCGUGGGUAGCGAACAGGAUUAGAGACCCCAGUAGUCCCUGUCUCUUAUAC
RNAcentral lists this ribosomal RNA (301 nucleotides) under uncultured bacterium. Its description in RNAcentral is "partial 16S ribosomal RNA". It matches the Rfam family "Bacterial small subunit ribosomal RNA", at positions 509 to 807 of the family's 1533-position model. The record is from RNAcentral.